This 517-nucleotide ribosomal RNA is filed under the name uncultured bacterium. RNAcentral describes it as "bacterial SSU rRNA". It matches the Rfam family "Bacterial small subunit ribosomal RNA", at positions 29 to 518 of the family's 1533-position model. The record is from RNAcentral.
ACGAACGCUGGCGGCGUGCCUAAUACAUGCAAGUCGAACGGUCUUUCUAUGGAAGCUUGCUUCCACUGAGAAGAUAGUGGCGAACGGGUGAGUAACACGUGGGUAACCUGCCCAUAAGAGGGGGGAUAACAUCCGGAAACGGGUGCUAAUACCGCAUAGUUUUCUUGAUCGCAUGAUUGAGAAAGGAAAGACGGCCUUUGUGCUGUCGCUUAUGGAUGGACCCGCGGCGUAUUAGUUAGUUGGUGAGGUAACGGCUCACCAAGACGAUGAUACGUAGCCGACCUGAGAGGGUGAUCGGCCACAUUGGGACUGAGACACGGCCCAAACUCCUACGGGAGGCAGCAGUAGGGAAUCUUCCGCAAUGGACGAAAGUCUGACGGAGCAACGCCGCGUGAGUGAAGAAAGGUUUUCGGAUCGUAAAACUCUGUUGUCAGAGAAGAACAAGUUGGAGAGUAACUGCUCCAGCCUUGACGGUAUCUGACCAGAAAGCCACGGCUAACUACGUGCCAGCCGCUGC